GAUGAACGCUAGCGGCAGGCCUAACACAUGCAAGUCGAGGGGUAGAACACUUCGGUGUUUGGGACCGGCGCACGGGUGCGUAACGCGUAUGCAAUCUCCCUUAUACAGGGGAAUAGCCCAGAGAAAUUUGGAUUAAUGCCCCAUAACAUUACGACUUGGCAUCAAGAUGUAAUUAAAGUUCCAACGGUAUAAGAUGAGCAUGCGUCCCAUUAGUUAGUUGGUAAGGUAACGGCUUACCAAGACGAUGAUGGGUAGGGGUCCUGAGAGGGAGAUCCCCCACACUGGUACUGAGACACGGACCAGACUCCUACGGGAGGCAGCAGUGAGGAAUAUUGGUCAAUGGUCGCAAGACUGAACCAGCCAUGCCGCGUGCAGGAAGACGGUCCUAUGGAUUGUAAACUGCUUUUAUACAGGAAGAAACCCUCCCACGUGUGGGAGCUUGACGGUACUGUAGGAAUAAGGAUCGGCUAACUCCGUGCCAGCAGCCGCAGUAA
This 494-nucleotide ribosomal RNA is filed under the name uncultured bacterium. RNAcentral's name for it is "partial 16S ribosomal RNA". It matches the Rfam family "Bacterial small subunit ribosomal RNA", at positions 28 to 523 of the family's 1533-position model. The record is from RNAcentral.